CGGCAGGCCUAACACAUGCAAGUCGAGCGGAUGAAGGGAGCUUGCUCCUGGAUUCAGCGGCGGACGGGUGAGUAAUGCCUAGGAAUCUGCCUGGUAGUGGGGGAUAACGUCCGGAAACGGGCGCUAAUACCGCAUACGUCCUGAGGGAGAAAGUGGGGGAUCUUCGGACCUCACGCUAUCAGAUGAGCCUAGGUCGGAUUAGCUAGUUGGUGGGGUAAAGGCCUACCAAGGCGACGAUCCGUAACUGGUCUGAGAGGAUGAUCAGUCACACUGGAACUGAGACACGGUCCAGACUCCUACGGGAGGCAGCAGUGGGGAAUAUUGGACAAUGGGCGAAAGCCUGAUCCAGCCAUGCCGCGUGUGUGAAGAAGGUCUUCGGAUUGUAAAGCACUUUAAGUUGGGAGGAAGGGCAGUAAGUUAAUACCUUGCUGUUUUGACGUUACCAACAGAAUAAGCACCGGCUAACUUCGUGCCAGCAGCCGCGGUAAUACGAAGGGUGCAAGCGUUAAUCGGAAUUACUGGGCGUAAAGCGCGCGUAGGUGGUUCAGCAAGUUGGAUGUGAAAUCCCCGGGCUCAACCUGGGAACUGCAUCCAAAACUACUGAGCUAGAGUACGGUAGAGGGUGGUGGAAUUUCCUGUGUAGCGGUGAAAUGCGUAGAUAUAGGAAGGAACACCAGUGGCGAAGGCGACCACGUGGACUGAUACUGACACUGAGGUGCGAAAGCGUGGGGAGCAAACAGG
Molecule: ribosomal RNA, 741 nt
Filed under: uncultured Pseudomonadaceae bacterium
Lineage: Bacteria; Pseudomonadati; Pseudomonadota; Gammaproteobacteria; Pseudomonadales; Pseudomonadaceae
Description: SSU rRNA
Rfam family: Bacterial small subunit ribosomal RNA
Source: RNAcentral